GUAUAGAUUUCAAAAGAACACAAGGCUCUUCUUAGAAUAUUGACAUUCAAAAACUGUGUUUUAAGAAAAAUACAUAAGACACCAGGAAAGAACAAGGGAAGCCAACCUAAAAAGAAUGAAGGCCAGCAAACCCUCUCUCUCAAUGUCCACUUGAAAGGUGCACAGGUGAUAGAUAAAUGAGAAAGAUUUAAAAAGGUGUGCACAUGCUCCAAAAAAGCCAGCAACAAACCCCUUGUUUUGUCAUUUCAUUUCAUUAAUGAUCCUUCCGCAGGUUCACCUACGGAAA
RNAcentral lists this unclassified non-coding RNA (286 nucleotides) under uncultured fungus. RNAcentral's name for it is "sequence contains ITS1". The record is from RNAcentral. Lineage: Eukaryota; Fungi.